GGAUUUCCUUUUUUUUUCCCCCAAUUAUACAUGAAUCUAUAUAAAGUUUUCACUUGAUAGAAGACAGAGCACACAUAUGAUCCAAUAGUUAGACUGCUCCCAAGAAUAUAUGCGAAAGCCAGACAAUGUGAUGGACAUACACAUCACAGCAACAUAAAGACUUGGAUUUAGAUUUGUUCUGGGAAUUGAACUUGCCCCAAACAGAAAUCUGUCCGUUGCAUAAAGAAGAAAAUACCAGAAAGUGAUUUUGAAUUGAUCUCCCUCAGAAUUUGAAAACUAUCACCUGUUUGGUUUUUUUGUUUGUUUGUUUGUUGUUUUUUUUGUUUUGUUUUUUAUUUUAAAGAAUAGAGAUGUUUUGGAGAGAAUUUUAAAAAGAGACCCUCAGACUUUUUCAACACAUAUAUUAGGUACUCUUAACCCCUGAUCAAUUGUUCCAGCCUCAAAUUUAGACAACUCUUAAAUUAUUCCUACUGCAUUUUCUCACUUCUGCUCUUUUUUUUUUUUUGAUAGAGGCUAGAGUUUUUGAUAAAGAGUGAAUGCUUAAGUGGGGGUCUAUAAUUUCUUUAGUGAAUUUCUUCAUUAUGAAACAUAUUCAUAAUCACCACCUUUUGAGAGCUUUGUAGCAUGAAGUCCAUCAUUCAAUAUCCUAGUGGCCUUCUCAUCUUUAUUGUCCUAGUUUCAUUUCUGUUGCUGGGAUAAACAACCUGAUGAAAUACAAUAUAGGGGAGAAAGGAGUUUAUUCAUCUUACAACUCCAGGUUUCAAUCUGUUAUUGAAAAGAAGUCAAGGCAGGAACUUAAAAGUACCACAUCCACAGGCAAGAGAAUAAAUUCACAGAUCCUUUCUGCCUACUGGUCAGUUCUCACCUAGUCUUCUCUCACACAGCUCCAGGUCCAACCUUGGGAAUAAUACUACCCACAGUGAUGUGGGUCACUUAGCAAUCAGAACAAUUCCCCUGAGAACAUGUCUACAGGUCAAUCUGAUGCAAAUACUUUCUUAAUUAAAAUUAUUUUUCUAGGUGAUUGUAGACUGGGGUAAGUUACUUAAAACUGACCAGUAUGUGUUCCGCAGCUGCAUCGGCAUGCCAUAAGACUACCAAGACUUAGGAAACGUACUCCCAGGUCUUAAAAGAUUUAGAAAUGACAGCACCAAACACAUAGAGCUCUAAGAGAAUCUGCAGGCCUGCUUUUAGUAAGAUAUAAUGCAGUGUGCCAGAAAGAGCUCUUUGCUUACAGCUAUUCCAACUAUGCAACCAGGUCUUACCAUACAAGGUAGCAUCAUUAAAAACUGAUGUGUUCAUGCAGAAAUCCAAACUAACAACUUUAUCAAUUCAUGUGAAGGCUUUUAUUGAGGACUAAAAUAAUAAUAAUAAUAAUCAAUAAUUUGGGCUAGAAAAUGCUCCAGAUACCAAGUUCAUCUACGUAAAGUUUACAGGAUCCACCUUUAUCAUAAGAAUAAAUAAGACUUUGGGACCGUAUCAGAUUUGCCUAAUUCUCAAAAGUCCUAAAAUAUUGGUGGCAAUAAUUGUAUGUUAACCUAAAGUCUUUUUAGUGUCUAGAAAAUACAACUUAGCUGGACAUGAGAUAUAUCCAUUUUGCACAGCCAGUGCCAUCUCACACAUUGCUCAUUCACCCGAUGUUUACAAGAUAUUGUUAAGCUCUCAUUCCCUAUCUGGCGAGCUGAACUGGAGAGGACUCUGGGGAUGAAGUCAGCUAAGCCAUUUUGCUUCACUCCUCUUUCCAUUUAACCUUGAAGUGGCUGAGACCAUCAGUCUCCUUCACAUUGGGGAAGGAAUAUAGCAGCAGCAGCAGUGGCGGCGGCAGCAGAAUAGAUAAAUUUGCCAGCAAGAGAGAAAACAAACAGGCAAAAAGCAAUGUUUCCUUACAUGUACUUCUAUCUGGGCUGUCACCAGAAGGUGUCACCUAGCUUUAGUGUGGGUCUUCCUGCUUCAAAUAGUCUGAUCAAGAAAGUCCUUCACAGGAUUCCACUACAACUAUUCCACAUACAACUGCAAGUCCGUGAUACAUUUUAGAAUAAGUGGCAAAAUCCCUGAGAAAAGCCUUUUAAAUAUGACAAUAUAAAUUAAUAGCACUUAAACACUGCUGUUAUCUCAGUGGAUGUUAAAUUACAUGAUUCUAUAUUCAUUCAUUAGGAUAAAUAUAUUUUAGAGU
This 2170-nucleotide long non-coding RNA is filed under the name Mus musculus (house mouse). RNAcentral describes it as "long non-coding RNA chr1:121336744-121338914". The record is from RNAcentral. Lineage: Eukaryota; Metazoa; Chordata; Mammalia; Rodentia; Muridae.